This 433-nucleotide ribosomal RNA is filed under the name uncultured bacterium. RNAcentral's name for it is "partial 16S ribosomal RNA". It matches the Rfam family "Bacterial small subunit ribosomal RNA", at positions 29 to 507 of the family's 1533-position model. The record is from RNAcentral.
AACGAACGCUGGCGGCAUGCCUAACACAUGCAAGUCGAACGAUCCCUUCGGGGAUAGUGGCGCACGGGUGCGUAACGCGUGGGAACCUGCCCUUAGGUUCGGAAUAACUCAGAGAAAUUUGAGCUAAUACCGGAUAAUGUCUUCGGACCAAAGAUUUAUCGCCUUUGGAUGGGCCCGCGUUGGAUUAGCUAGUUGGUGGGGUAAAGGCCUACCAAGGCGACGAUCCAUAGCUGGUCUGAGAGGAUGAUCAGCCACACUGGGACUGAGACACGGCCCAGACUCCUACGGGAGGCAGCAGUGGGGAAUAUUGGACAAUGGGCGAAAGCCUGAUCCAGCAAUGCCGCGUAAGUGAUGAAGGCCUUAGGGUUGUAAAGCUCUUUUACCCGGGAUGAUAAUGACAGUACCGGGAGAAUAAGCCCCGGCUAACUCCGUG